RNAcentral lists this small nucleolar RNA (127 nucleotides) under Moschus moschiferus (Siberian musk deer). RNAcentral describes it as "Small nucleolar RNA SNORA40 (ENSMMSG00000019475.1)". It matches the Rfam family "Small nucleolar RNA SNORA40". Rfam says of the family: The snoRNA ACA 40 belongs to the H/ACA family of snoRNAs and guides the pseudouridylation of 28S rRNA subunit at position U4565. NB This family has a high threshold value to exclude a large number of closely related sequences that do not appear to have conserved H and ACA boxes, and may be pseudogenes. The record is from Rfam by way of RNAcentral. Lineage: Eukaryota; Metazoa; Chordata; Mammalia; Artiodactyla; Moschidae.
AACACUUGUGUUUGAUUUCGUUAAGCUUGUGAGCAAAGACUUACAGACAGGUACAAAAAUAAACCCUCUUUUGCAACCCAGAACUCAUUGUUUAGUAUGAGUUUUGAUACAGGUAAGAAGGAACAUG